CCUACGGGAGGCAGCAGUGGGGGAUAUUGCACAAUGGGGGAAACCCUGAUGCAGCGACGCCGCGUGGGUGAAGAAGCGCCUCGGCGCGUAAAGCCCUGUCAGCAGGGAAGAAAAUGACGGUACCUGAAGAAGAAGCCCCGGCUAACUACGUGCCAGCAGCCGCGGUAAUACGUAGGGGGCAAGCGUUAUCCGGAUUUACUGGGUGUAAAGGGGGCGCAGACGGUGAUGCAAGCCAGGAGUGAAAGCCCGGGGCCCAACCCCGGGACUGCUCUUGAAACUGCGUGGCUAGAGUGCAGGAGGGGCAGGCGGAAUUCCUGGUGGAGCGGUGAAAUGCGUAGAUAUCAGGAGGAACACCGGUGGCGAAGGCGGCCUGCUGGACUGCAACUGACGUUGAGGCCCGAAAGCGUGGGGAGCAAACAGGAUUAGAUACCCUAGUAGUC
Molecule: ribosomal RNA, 440 nt
Filed under: uncultured bacterium
Lineage: Bacteria
Description: partial 16S ribosomal RNA
Rfam family: Bacterial small subunit ribosomal RNA
Source: RNAcentral